UCCGGUUCAUCACCAGCAGUCUCUUUAGAGUCCCCACCAUUACGUGAUGGCAACUAAAGAUAAGGGUUGCGCUCGUUACGGGACUUAACCCAACAUCUCACAACACGAGCUGACGACAGCCAUGCAGCACCUGUCUCUAGGUUCCUUUCGGCACAAUCAUAUCUCUACAAUCUUCCUAGGAUGUCAAGGGUAGGUAAGGUUCUUCGCGUUGCAUCGAAUUAAACCACAUGCUCCACCGCUUGUGCGGGCCCCCGUCAAUUCCUUUGAGUUUUAACCUUGCGGUCGUACUCCCCAGGCGGAAAACUUAUCGCGUUAGCUUCGAUACUAAUCAGUCAUGCUGACCAACAUCUAGUUUUCAUCGUUUACAGCGUGGACUAC
Molecule: unclassified non-coding RNA, 378 nt
Filed under: uncultured Gammaproteobacteria bacterium
Lineage: Bacteria; Pseudomonadati; Pseudomonadota; Gammaproteobacteria
Description: contains 16S-23S intergenic spacer region
Source: RNAcentral